RNAcentral lists this ribosomal RNA (424 nucleotides) under Verrucomicrobiota bacterium. Its description in RNAcentral is "Verrucomicrobia bacterium partial 16S ribosomal RNA". It matches the Rfam family "Bacterial small subunit ribosomal RNA", at positions 355 to 776 of the family's 1533-position model. The record is from RNAcentral. Lineage: Bacteria; Pseudomonadati; Verrucomicrobiota.
UGAGGAAUAUUGGUCAAUGGACGAGAGUCUGAACCAGCCAAGUAGCGUGCAGGAUGACGGCCCUAUGGGUUGUAAACUGCUUCUGUUUGGGAAUAAUCGACAUUACGUGUAAUGUUUUGCAUGUACCAUUCGAAUAAGGACCGGCUAAUUCCGUGCCAGCAGCCGCGGUAAUACGGAAGGUCCAGGCGUUAUCCGGAUUUAUUGGGUUUAAAGGGAGUGUAGGCGGUUGGUUAAGCGUGUUGUGAAAUGUAGAUGCUCAACAUCUGACUUGCAGCGCGAACUGGCUGGCUUGAGUACACACAACGUAGGCGGAAUUCAUGGUGUAGCGGUGAAAUGCUUAGAUAUCAUGACGAACUCCGAUUGCGAAGGCAGCGUACGGGAGCGCAACUGACGCUAAAGCUCGAAGGGGCGGGUAUCGAACAGG